Long non-coding RNA from Polistes canadensis, 583 nucleotides. RefSeq lists it as uncharacterized. Lineage: Eukaryota; Metazoa; Arthropoda; Insecta; Hymenoptera; Vespidae. The record is from RefSeq and is a predicted model, not a curated record. The transcript is spliced from 2 exons.
AUGACUUUUCAUUGUGCAGUAAUCUCGUAAAAAUUCAAUUAAUCGAGAGAGUAUUGAUCAUCUAAUAGAAUUUAAAAAAAAAGUUGAACGAGUUAUCAGCUUCUGAACGAUGAAACGGAACGAAAUGAGAAGCAGCCUAGUUUUAUCUCAGCGCACAAGAAAGAUAGAAAUAAAUAAAAGAAGAAGUAGAAGAAGAUGAAGAAGAUGAAGAUGAAGAAGAAGAAGAAGAAGAAGAAAAUAAAAAAAAAAGAGGUUAAUCGCAAAUAGUUAUGCCGAUGAGGAUGGAUACAACGAGUUGUUACACAAGAGUUAAUCGUUAACUCGCUCUAUGUAACCUAAUUAUUUCUAGUGUCUCUCGAGGAAAAUUAUAUAAUAUGAAUUUUAUCAUUCUCCUAUUAUAAUCUAACUUUAUCAUAAUACACGAAGUUAUGUAUUACGGUUAUAUUGAAGGCUGCUGUAUCACAAAAAUACUAAUAAAAAUACGAGUAUCUUUUAUAAAUUGCACAUACAUGCUACAAAUUCCACAACAUAAUUUUACUUUAUACAAAACGACAAAGCUAUUAGUAAUAAAUUCUAUCAUGAA